RNAcentral lists this ribosomal RNA (216 nucleotides) under Glomeromycotina sp. Its description in RNAcentral is "partial small subunit ribosomal RNA". The stretch from base 40 to 216 matches the Rfam family "Eukaryotic small subunit ribosomal RNA", at positions 686 to 864 of the family's 1831-position model. Lineage: Eukaryota; Fungi; Glomeromycota. The record is from RNAcentral.
GGGUCAGUAGGUCGGUCGUGCCACCGGUACGUACUGGUCUCACUGAUUCCUCCUUCCUGAAGAACCGUAAUGCCAUUAAUUUGGUGUUGCGGGGAAACAGGACUGUUACUUUGAAAAAAUUAGAGUGUUUAAAGCAAGCUAACGCUUGAAUACAUUAGCAUGGAAUAAUGAAAUAGGACGAUCGAUCCUAUUUUGCUGGUUUCUAGGAUUGACGUA